Molecule: ribosomal RNA, 484 nt
Filed under: uncultured bacterium
Lineage: Bacteria
Description: partial 16S ribosomal RNA
Rfam family: Bacterial small subunit ribosomal RNA
Source: RNAcentral
AGUGAACGCUGGCGGUAGGCCUAACACAUGCAAGUCGAACGGCAGCACAGUAAGAGCUUGCUCUUACGGGUGGCGAGUGGCGGACGGGUGAGGAAUACAUCGGAAUCUACUUUUUCGUGGGGGAUAACGUAGGGAAACUUACGCUAAUACCGCAUACGACCUACGGGUGAAAGCAGGGGAUCUUCGGACCUUGCGCGAUUGAAUGAGCCGAUGUCGGAUUAGCUAGUUGGCGGGGUAAAGGCCCACCAAGGCGACGAUCCGUAGCUGGUCUGAGAGGAUGAUCAGCCACACUGGAACUGAGACACGGUCCAGACUCCUACGGGAGGCAGCAGUGGGGAAUAUUGGACAAUGGGCGCAAGCCUGAUCCAGCCAUACCGCGUGGGUGAAGAAGGCCUUCGGGUUGUAAAGCCCUUUUGUUGGGAAAGAAAAGCAGCAGGUUAAUACCCCGCUGUUCUGACGGUACCCAAAGAAUAAGCACCGGCUA